ACACACACACGUGCAAGUGCAGCAUGUUAUCAAUAUUGUUUCUCGCAGUGGUAGCUAUCAUGGUGGUGUGCACCAAUUACUCAGCCUGGAGCGUGGUCGCGACAGCAGAGGAAAAGCAACAUGGCUCACAACACUAUGGAUCAAAAGCUGUCGGCCUGCCUUUUGUAUGGGUCUGCUGAGGAUUUCCCAGCUGGAGGAAAUGCAUGGAUGUGCCAACCUUCCUCCAUCUCCAUACACAGAUCAGCGGCAUCAUUAUGUACGUGGCCCUCAGACAUACUGGUUCAUCCCUCAACCUUCACGUCACCUCGGCUAAAUGGCAAGGGAACCUCCCCUCGAUGUAGACGCAUGAUAGCAGACUCUGAAUCAGCUCAGAGGCGGUUUUUUUUUUUUUUUUU
Long non-coding RNA from Acanthochromis polyacanthus (spiny chromis), 395 nucleotides. RefSeq lists it as uncharacterized. The transcript has 2 exons. The record is from RefSeq and is a predicted model, not a curated record. Lineage: Eukaryota; Metazoa; Chordata; Actinopteri; Pomacentridae.